RNAcentral lists this long non-coding RNA (1594 nucleotides) under Numida meleagris (helmeted guineafowl). Its description in RNAcentral is "lncRNA (ENSNMEG00000000616.1)". Lineage: Eukaryota; Metazoa; Chordata; Aves; Galliformes; Numididae. The record is from RNAcentral.
GGUCGGAGCAGCGUUUCCCAGCGCGGAGCGGCGGCAGCUCCGCACCCCCGAGAGGGGGAAUCGUUGGGAGCCGCCUCGACCGCCGCCGCCCGAGGGGAGCGCUCCGGCUCCGGCACCUCGGUACCUCCCGCCCGGGGGCUCCGCGCCCGCUGCUCCGGCGCGGAAACGCGGGGCUGGAAAUGGGUCACCGCCGCGGAAAAUACUUUGAAAACACAACUCGGGGAUAAUCAGACAGCGGGGUUUAAUUAGGGCCGCGGGCUGAUCGCCGCGCAUUUUAUUCCCAGCCCGUAUCGCGCGGGGGGAGGGGUGCGGCUGCUGCCCGGCCACAUCUGGCCUACAGACCCUCUCCCUGCGCCUCGUGAUCGCGUUUGGCGAAACCCGAUCUACGUGGUUCAAAUACCUUCCAAAUUGGGGGCGAUUUAACAAUCGCGUCCAAUUAAACCUAGGGAAGAAAAGGAGGAGGAAAAAAAAAUAAUAAUAAAAUAAAGAAAAUCCCCUCCUUCCCGCUCCCCCGCCCAGGGCUCGCACACUAUCUGUUGCUCUCACGGCGGCAGCGGGUGGGGGCGGGCGGACGGGCUCACACUCGUGCUCCCACUCGCGCUCCCCGCACGCCCCGCGCACCAUUGUUCCUGCCCGCCCGCCCCGCUUUAUUUGGGUGUUUUGUUCGCUCCCCGGCGCGGAACUCCGCGCGCCCGCCCGCGCUGGAGCGGCACAUUCAUUAUCGGCCGGGGGCUGAUUUCAAACCGCUGCCAUCGCGGCUCCAUUGUUCGCCGGGCGGCCAGGCCCCGCCCCCCUUUGUGUGGCGCGGCGGCGAUUGGCCGGCGCCGGGCGGAGGGCUGCCGUCACCGCUCGGGAAGCCCAUUCAUCUGUGCACUUGGGCGUUGGACUCCGCAUCUUAUUAGCAACCAGGGAGAUUUCUCCAUUUUCUCCUUGUCUACAUUUCUUUGUUGAAUAAGCCAGCAUGGGUGCCCAGUUCUCCAAGACCGCUGCGAAGGGCGAAGCCGCCGCCGAGAAGCCCGGGGAAGCGGUGGCCGCGUCUCCCUCCAAGGCGAAUGGACAGGUAAAAAAAAAAAAAAAAAAAAAAAAAAAGAUUCCAAAAAAUUAAACCUACUCCUUUUUUUAAGCCGACUUCGACGGACUCUCUUUUGCAUCCUGUCUAAUUCCUCUUCCUUUGAUACCCCGGUGGCACGUUCAAUGGAGAAUACGGGCAAUCUUUUAUCUUUGCGACUCAAGGCAAAGGGAUCCUUUCUUUAUUUUUUAAAUACGGGUUUGGCUUUGAGUGAUUCUUUCUUUGAAUGAUUAUCUUUCCUGCGUCGGGGGGAGCGGGGCCAUUUUUUGAUAUAUUUUUUUUAUAAAGAAAGACAAAUCCCUCGUGUCUUGCGAGCGUCCCGAUGGCUUCUAAACGGAAGGACCUUAUAUCGCUCGGCUUUUCCGCCCGCUUCACCUCCUUCCGACGGCGCCGGGCGAGGGGCGCGAAGCCUCUGCGGGUGGAGGCGCGGUGCCAUCGGGACUGGGGCUCGGCAGCUCUCCCCAGGGCCGGGUCCCCCGCCGCCCCCUCCCCGCCGCACGCCGCCCGGCUGUCGGGCUGCCCCCU